Molecule: ribosomal RNA, 253 nt
Filed under: uncultured bacterium
Lineage: Bacteria
Description: partial 16S ribosomal RNA
Rfam family: Bacterial small subunit ribosomal RNA
Source: RNAcentral
UACAGAGGGUGCGAGCGUUAAUCGGAAUUACUGGGCGUAAAGCGCGCGUAGGCGGUUUUUUAAGUCAGAGGUGAAAGCCCAGUGCUCAACACUGGAACUGCCUCUGAAACUGGAAAACUUGAAUCUUGGAGAGGUCAGUGGAAUUCCGAGUGUAGAGGUGAAAUUCGUAGAUAUUCGGAAGAACACCAGUGGCGAAGGCGACUGACUGGACAAGUAUUGACGCUGAGGUGCGAAAGCGUGGGGAGCAAACAGG